Molecule: non-coding RNA, 4559 nt
Organism: Physcomitrium patens
Lineage: Eukaryota; Viridiplantae; Streptophyta; Bryopsida; Funariales; Funariaceae
Source: RefSeq, a predicted model, not a curated record
GUUGAAGCUGGGUUUAGCCUUUAUAAGUCUGUCGGUUCAAGUCUCGGGUUGCUGGCGUUAGCAGUAUCGUAACUAGUAAAGUGUUCUUGAACUUAGUCUCUACUUUGUGCCUCAAUUUUGUGUUGAUUGGAGGCUUGGGUUGUUUUUUUUUCGUUGGGUCUUCUUUGAUUGUGGCCGAGCUGUGGAUUGGACCUCUAAAAUUAGUGGAAGUUGAAUAUACGGCAAUCCUGCUGCGGUACAAGAAACGGUUUGUGGUUUUGUAUAGCGAACUCUGCGUUGUUUGGGCAUCUGUGCAAAAUUAAUAGGGAAUAAGGGUCUUUCAAUUAGUGCCGUGGAUAGAAUAGUUUAUUUGACUUUCUUCGAGAAUAAUUUUUGUGAGCGGAAGACUAAUUGCUCUUGAUUACCGUUAAGUGGGCAUGUGAGAUUCAAGCUGGAUACCCAAGGUGCUCAAGUGGUGAAACCAAUUGCUAAGUAAAUUAACUCUGCUAGUGGAGCUACGAUAUCUGGUUCUCUAGUGAUUACCCAAGAAUUUGCUUCAAAAUUGAGUAUUUUGAGAACUUAAAGCUAAGAAUUGGUUCAGAAUUGGUUCACAGGAAAUUUCAUGUCGACUGUAAAAGAAGCUCUAGGGCCGAGGCUCUCCCACACUUGUAUUGCUUUUAUGAUUUCUUUAAUUUUCUGUUCUUAUCCAUUAUGGUUUUCAGUUUCUUGAGCGUGAGCGGUAGUUUUUCAAAACCCACCGGAGUGCGGACCACAAACGCUACCCAUUCUUUGUCUCCUCAGCCAUAGUUGGAUAUUGCAAUUACGGAAUUUGCAAACCCUGUGGAGAAUGUUGACAGAACUUCACCAUACUCAAUGGACAAUUGUUUCAACUACUCUUGGUGCGACAAUAUGGACACGCUUUUGGUCUACCACUACGACUCGUAAUAUUCCCCUAUGUGGUAAUUCAAGGAUGCAUUUGAAAGGAUCCUAUACUACACCAUGGACCCUUCAAAGGCUUGCCUAUUCCUUGUCUUUGUGGAUCGGAGACUGAACGGUCCACCUCUGAACUGAUUGCCUUACUGAAAUCAUGGCCUCAACCAUGUCGUUAUCUCAACUGUGGAUAAGCUAAAGAAUCCUGACGCAUGAUUGCUUGAAAUGGCAUCCACGAUGACCUCCAUCACGCAUCAAACGACCUACCGCGCAAGAUUCGAUAUCAGUGUACUCCUGCUGCAUAGAUUGUUUUACCCUAAUUUGCAAGAACGAAGGGCUCAAGAUAGAAAGCAUUUCUUGACGUUCAAGGGGACUUAGUAUGUGGAAGAGAAGUCUCAAGAGAGCAGAGUGUGCAGCAACCCAAUUUUGAGAAGGAUGCUGAAUGGAGAGGAUAUCUUUAUUGUUACCACGUGUAAGCAGGCAUUCGCAAACUUCUUUGAAUUUUUUUGGAAUUCCGCACAAACAAAAAAAAAAAGAAUAAUAUGGUUAAGUGUUGAGUAAGUUUGAUCCUAAGAGUAUUUGUUUGUCUCCUUCUGAUCCUUGGCUCUUGCAUUAAUUGCAAGUGCCAAACAAAGAAGCAUCGCUGAGACGCCCUGGAAUAGGGGCCGGUUGUGGGAGUAACCAAUCCCUGUACAGCCAAACCAAGUUUGACGACUUAAUGAAUUCUACCUUAGGUCUUGUUCCAGCUGGUAGAGGGCCAAGCACGUACCGCCUCAUGGAGGUUUUGUCUGCAGGUUCAAUCCCAAUUGCAAUUUCUAACAACCUCGUCCUUUCAUUCGACACCCUCAUUGAGUGGAGGUGGUGCUUGUUCGUGUUCCCUCCCCCCCAGAUACACAAAAUUGUGCCCACUUUGAGAAGCCUCAAAUGGGACAAAAUUGAGUUUAGGCAGAAGCACUGUCUCUUCAUCUACCGUGAGUUUUUUGGAAGUCAGGACAAGAUUGUUGAGACCACUGUAAUGGCACUCAAAUCCAGGUUCUUUGGUGUUCUUCCCAAACUCAUUCCUAAGAUUCCCCUUCCUUCUUGGGAAUUGAGUUAAAAAAAGAAGGAUUCCAAAUUCAACUCUCAAUAAUCUGAUUGUCCUCUCUUUCAUUAACAAGAAGCAGUCAUAUUUUAUGUUUAAAUGUGGUGCGCAUCAGCUCAAUCAACCUUGUGGAAAAUGUACUAUAGAGUUGAUGAUAGAAAGAAGAGCUGCUUAGAACGGUCUAUACGCACGACCACCAUCUGUUCUAUUUGAAUUUCAUCAAAAAAGGUUCUUAGUUUGUUAGUAGCAACUACCUCUCAUUAUUUCUUUGUGCACGAACUUUUUCUCGCCUUUUGUUUGUCUUUCACAAACUAUUUUGGAAUACUUCCUAUUGGUUCUUCAUGUUAUCCUGUUAUCUUUGUAUUUAGAUAACUUGUAUUGCUUUACUAACUCUUAUACUGGGUUCCAUAAAAGGAGCUGUCAGUUGUAAACAAAUUGGAUGUACCGUAAUGUGAUGUUAAAAAGUAGGCUUGUGGUCGUUAUUAGUUUCAUUUGAUCUUGUGGGUAAACAUCUUAUAAAUGCUACCAACAUAUCAAUAGGACUAUUCUAUGUUUUUUUAGAAAGCAACAAACGACACUUGUAAACUCGUAUACUACAGAAAUGUUUGACAAAUCUGUUGUUGGUGACGUUCUUACGUCACUGUGGCCUUCAUCAUCUGCUACAUAUUCUGAAGUAUCUGUGCUGGACGUGUUCUCUGCAUCUUUACCUUUGUAAGUCUUGAUUCUCCAAGUAAACGGCUCUGGGUUUGUAUUCGUUCUUGGUCAUGGUUUUUGCUCUGAAAUUCAGAAAAUCUGCUGGCGUCCAGAUAACCCUUGACGAGAACAAGGAGUACAUGAAUUGAAGUUGUUACAGGCUUUGUGGUGUACAACCGGGCAUGUACUCAAUUAUUUCUUUCGAAAUUUGAUUCUUAGAGGUACCUAACCCAUAAUUUUUCUUGAGUCGUGGAGGUUGUUCUUUUAAAAGAGUAAUGCGAUCGCAAUCUCUGCUCCUGAGCAUUCCAACAAGGGCAGUUGCAAGGUAGUUAAAUUAUGUUUGCGUAAUAAAUAACUUCGAUUGUGAAUCUUAUAUUUCCUCACUUCACUUGUCUCAACAUUCUUGAUCUCUUCAAACACGAUGGAGUGGAGAUGAACACAAUGCAUUGUUUUUUCUCAGCUUUGAUGUAGGCAGAGGUUGUGAGUGGAUCAGGAACAAAUUGGAUGAGCACAAAAAUUUAACACAGUUAGUCCUUUCCUAUUCAGAGGAUAUGUGUAACUUCUCAGCUUAAGGACGAUAUUCUCAAGUGUGAGCCUCUGCACAACUUGUAUCUCGUUUACAAGGGUCAUCAUUAUGAAUUGUUUCCAUGAAAAAUCUUAUUGGCUGAACAUAACACUCGGAGUUCAAACUCUUUUGCAAAUAUGAUCUGUUCCCAGUCAUAGUAGGAAGGACAAUUUUGCAUAAAGAAGUGUAAAGCUUGACGAGGGUUUAGCCUUCAGGUGCUCUUAUCUUGGGCUAAAGAUGGGGGUGUGAGAGAUCGUACUCUUGUAUCAAGAGUUGCAAAAGAGUGAUUGCUACCAAGCCUUAGGAAUCUCAAACUUUUCCUUGCUUGUCCUCGCUUUUCCUCGUCGCAAAUCCAUCGCCGCUGUCUGCUUUCUACUCGAUUUGAUUGGCUCAAAUCUGAGCAUCCGUUAACGCCGUCACAUCGCUCUGCUGCGUGCAAACUACGUGAGAGCGGGGAUCUUCUUCUGGUAUGUCUUCCUCUGUUUUCUCUUUUCUGGUUGCGGCUUAAUCACAAUGGCCCUUUGCAUCUCCUAGUUUGGCGACUAUUAGUUUGAAAGUAGGUGUUUGUGGCGAGUGUUUAGCUACAAAAGCUGAAGUUGUUGCUCAGCGAGCUAAUCAGUGCAUUUCUCUCAAAAACUCAGCAGCUCGUCUUUGAAGAAAUAGGCUUAUACAUGAACUUGUAGGAAACAUAAAAAAAAAUGCUCAUAUUUAAAUACUCUUUUGAAAUAGAAAAGGUGACUAUAUUUAGAAAGUAGAGUUGACAAUGUAUAUAUUCACCUUUAUCUAGUGUCGCUUAUUGUCAUUUGUAGCUCUUGGUUUUUGUGUGUAUAGGUGUUUAUGCAAUAGCAGCAUGGCGCAUAUGACGUUUGUAUUGUGGACUUUCAUUUUUUUCUUUAGCAUGUUGCAAGAAGUGGAAACAGGUGAGGGAUUGAGUAGCAAGAGGGAGAAUUCCAUGGAAACAAGAAAGCAUCUCAAGCCUAGAAUUCCUAAACCCCAUCUUCUGCCUCGUCCUCUGUUGCAUCCUCUGCCUUUGCCUGGUGCACUACUCUUGGCAGACCUUCCUCCACUCCCAAAGUUUAUACCACGUUUUCUUGAUCUGUUUAUUAAUUGUUCAUGGACUUCCACAAUGAGUGAACCUUAGACAAGUGGUUUGAUCUUACUGAAAAAAGUAAGAUAAAUAGUUUUUGAUUAGAUCUAUUUAGUAUGGUUUCAAUGCAUAUAAUGUUUACUAAUAGUUUGAAGUGUUUCUAAAUUUACAAUGACUUGAUAAAUGUGUAAUAUUUUAAAUUUUAUAAAUUUUUUGCUGCUAUU